UGUAUUUUGGUGUAUGUUGCACUUUGAAUUUUGAUUUCAAUGGAUUAGUUUAAUUCUAAAAAAUAUAA
This 68-nucleotide transfer RNA is filed under the name Metrocoris esakii. RNAcentral's name for it is "tRNA-Gln". RNAcentral also lists the same sequence under 1 other name. The record is from RNAcentral. Lineage: Eukaryota; Metazoa; Arthropoda; Insecta; Hemiptera; Gerridae.